This 253-nucleotide ribosomal RNA is filed under the name uncultured bacterium. RNAcentral's name for it is "partial 16S ribosomal RNA". It matches the Rfam family "Bacterial small subunit ribosomal RNA", at positions 524 to 776 of the family's 1533-position model. The record is from RNAcentral.
UACGUAGGUGGCAAGCGUUGUCCGGAUUUACUGGGCGUAAAGGGCGUGCAGGCGGUUUGUUAAGUGCAGGGUGAAAGCUCCCGGCUCAACUGGGAGAGGUCCUUGCAUACUGGCAAGCUCGAGGGAGGCAGAGGAAAGUGGAAUUCCCGGUGUAGUGGUGAUAUGCGUAGAUAUCGGGAGGAACACCUGUGGCGAAGGCGGCUUUCUGGGCCUUACCUGACGCUGAGACGCGAAAGCGUGGGGAGCGAACCGG